UAACCGGCGAUUUCCGAAUGGGGAAACCCAGUGUGAUUCGUCACACUAUCAUUAACUGAAUCCAUAGGUUAAUGAGGCGAACCGGGGGAACUGAAACAUCUAAGUACCCCGAGGAAAAGAAAUCAACCGAGAUUCCCCCAGUAGCGGCGAGCGAACGGGGAGCAGCCCAGAGCCUGAAUCAGUGUGUGUGUUAGUGGAAGCGUCUGGAAAGGCGCGCGAUACAGGGUGACAGCCCCGUACACAAAAAUGCACAUAUUGUGAGCUCGAUGAGUAGGGCGGGACACGUGGUAUCCUGUCUGAAUAUGGGGGGCCCAUCCUCCAAGGCUAAAUACUCCUGACUGACCGAUAGUGAACCAGUACCGUGAGGGAAAGGCGAAAAGAACCCCGGCGAGGGGAGUGAAAAAGAACCUGAAACCGUGUACGUACAAGCAGUGGGAGCACGCUUAGGCGUGUGACUGCGUACCUUUUGUAUAAUGGGUCAGCGACUUAUAUUCUGUAGCAAGGUUAACCGAAUAGGGGAGCCGAAGGGAAACCGAGUCUUAACUGGGCGUUAAGUUGCAGGGUAUAGACCCGAAACCCGGUGAUCUAGCCAUGGGCAGGUUGAAGGUUGGGUAACACUAACUGGAGGACCGAACCGACUAAUGUUGAAAAAUUAGCGGAUGACUUGUGGCUGGGGGUGAAAGGCCAAUCAAACCGGGAGAUAGCUGGUUCUCCCCGAAAGCUAUUUAGGUAGCGCCUCGUGAAUUCAUCUCCGGGGGUAGAGCACUGUUUCGGCAAGGGGGUCAUCCCGACUUACCAACCCGAUGCAAACUGCGAAUACCGGAGAAUGUUAUCACGGGAGACACACGGCGGGUGCUAACGUCCGUCGUGAAGAGGGAAACAACCCAGACCGCCAGCUAAGGUCCCAAAGUCAUGGUUAAGUGGGAAACGAUGUGGGAAGGCCCAGACAGCCAGGAUGUUGGCUUAGAAGCAGCCAUCAUUUAAAGAAAGCGUAAUAGCUCACUGGUCGAGUCGGCCUGCGCGGAAGAUGUAACGGGGCUAAACCAUGCACCGAAGCU
This 1058-nucleotide ribosomal RNA is filed under the name Shigella sonnei. RNAcentral describes it as "partial 23S ribosomal RNA". It matches the Rfam family "Bacterial large subunit ribosomal RNA", at positions 101 to 1201 of the family's 2925-position model. Lineage: Bacteria; Pseudomonadati; Pseudomonadota; Gammaproteobacteria; Enterobacterales; Enterobacteriaceae. The record is from RNAcentral.